RNAcentral lists this ribosomal RNA (254 nucleotides) under uncultured prokaryote. RNAcentral's name for it is "partial 16S ribosomal RNA". It matches the Rfam family "Bacterial small subunit ribosomal RNA", at positions 524 to 776 of the family's 1533-position model. The record is from RNAcentral.
GACAGGGGAUGCAAGCGUUAUCCGGAAUGAUUGGGCGUAAAGCGUCUGUAGGUGGCUUUUUAAGUCUGCCGUCAAAUCCCAGGGCUUAACCCUGGACAGGCGGUGGAAACUACCAAGCUGGAGUACGGUAGGGGCAGAGGGAAUUCUCGGUGGAGCGGUGAAAUGCAUAGAUAUCGGGAAGAACACCAACGGCGAAAGCACUCCGCUGGGCCGAAAACUGACACUGACAGACGAGAGCUAGGGGAGCGAAUGGG